AACGAACGCUGGCGGCAUGCCUAAUACAUGCAAGUCGAACGAGAUCUUCGGAUCUAGUGGCGCACGGGUGCGUAACGCGUGGGAAUCUACCCUUGGGUUCGGAAUAACAGUUAGAAAUGACUGCUAAUACCGGAUGAUGACGUAAGUCCAAAGAUUUAUCGCCCAAGGAUGAGCCCGCGUAAGAUUAGCUAGUUGGUGAGGUAAAGGCUCACCAAGGCUACGAUCUUUAGCUGGUCUGAGAGGAUGAUCAGCCACACUGGGACUGAGACACGGCCCAGACUCCUACGGGAGGCAGCAGUAGGGAAUAUUGGACAAUGGGCGAAAGCCUGAUCCAGCAAUGCCGCGUGAGUGAUGAAGGCCUUAGGGUUGUAAAGCUCUUUACCCGAGAUGAUAAUGACAGUAUCGGGAGAAUAAGCUCCGGCUAACUCCGUG
RNAcentral lists this ribosomal RNA (432 nucleotides) under uncultured bacterium. Its description in RNAcentral is "bacterial SSU rRNA". It matches the Rfam family "Bacterial small subunit ribosomal RNA", at positions 29 to 507 of the family's 1533-position model. The record is from RNAcentral.